UAGUUUUAGAGUGGAGAUUAUGUUUUCUUUUUUUUGUUUGUUUGUUUGAGACAGGGUCUUGCUGUGUUGCCCAGGCUGGAGUGCAGUGGCAUGAUCACAGCUCACUGCAGCCUCCACCUCCCAGGCUCAAGCGAUCCUCCCAUCUCAGCCUCCUGAGUAGCUAUGACUACAGGCACGCUACUACACCUGGCUAAUUUUUGUAUUUUUUGUAGAGAUGAGGUUUUGCCCUGUUGCGCAGGCUGGUCUCUUAACUCCUGGACUCAAGCAAUCUGCCUGCCUCGGCCUGCCGUUACAGGCUUGAGCCACGGCGCCUGUCUAUGUUCUCUUUUCACUGUUGGGUCAGAGGGUCAUAUUGUUGGAUGAUAGUGAUGGUUACUUUGCAUUUUGGAACGGGAAACUUAAACAUGAACUGUUAUACGGUACUCUACUGAAUCUUUUACAAUUUUUUUUGGGUUUUGCAAAUAGGUAUGAGCAUUCUCCAAGGAAAGGAUGACAUAUUUUUGGACCUGAAACAGAAAUUCUGGAAUACCUAUCUGAGUGGACUGAUGUACUGGCCCUUUGUACAGCUGACCAACUUCAGCCUUGUUCCUGUUCAAUGGAGAACAGCUUACGCUGGAGUCUGUGGUUUUCUCUGGGCCACCUUCAUCUGUUUUUCCCAGCAGAGUGGUGACGGCACAUUCAAGUCAGCUUUCACCAUUUUAUAUACAAAGGGGACCAGUGCCACAGAAGGGUCCCCGAAGAAAUGAGAAGUCAAGGACUCUCUUAAAGGGACCACAUUUUUUACCUAAAAUGCACAGAAUUGCCUGCAGACAAAAUAUUUGAUGUGCCAAUUAUGCACUUCAUUUUGAGGAAUUACUACUAUUUAUAGACCCACUUUUUAAAAAAUUAUCAAUGAUUAUUUUUGAAUUGUAUUCAGACUUUUUUCCUGUUCUAGUCUGAAAUAUUACUUCUCUAAUAUUUUGGUUAAUAUGAAUAAUAGUGGCAAAAUGGCAUUUUAGAAUUAUUAAUAUUUCUAAUAUUUUAACACAAGUUUCAGGAAACUUGGUUUUGAUUGUUCACAUUUCUAUUCUAAAAUCUCAGGUUAUCUCCUGAACACUUUUGGGCAGAUGAAGUUUUAUACCAAAAAAUAGUUCUUAGAGUGAAUUUUAAUUUACAUAGAACUCAAUCGAAAUGAAGAUUUAAUAACCAGAUUUCUUUCUCCAAAACAUACACAAUUUGUUGUUUUAGUAAAUACCUUUUUUUUUUUUUUUUUUUUUGGGGUGGAGUCUUGCUGUCUCCCCGGCUGGAGCGCAGUGGCACGAUCUCGGCUCACUGCAGCCUCCAUCCUCUGGGUUCAAGCAAUUCUCCUGCCUCAGGCUCCUGAGUAGCUGGGAUUACAGGCACGUGAUACCAGGCCCAGCUGAUUUUUGUAUUUUUGUUCGUUUGCUUUUGUUUUUGACACAGAGUCUCGCUCUGUCGCCCAAGCUGGAGUGCAGUUGUGAGAUCUCGGCUCACUGCAAGCUCCGCCUCCCGGGUUCACGCCAUUCUGCGUCAGCCUCCCAAGUAGCUGGGACUACAGGCACCUGCCACGAUGCCUAGCUAAUUUUUUGUAUUUUUAGUAGAGAUGAAGUUUCACCGUGUUGGCCAGGAUGGUCUUGAUCUCCUGACCGCAUAAUCCACCCACCUCGGCCUCCCAAAGUGCUGGGAUUACAGGCAUGAGCCACCACAACCGACUUUUUUUUUUUUUUUUUUUUUUUGAGACAGAGACUCGCUGUGUCACCCAGGCUGGAGUGCAGUGGCAUGAUUUCGGCUUACUGCAACCUCUGCCUCCUGGGUUCAAACGAUCCUACUGCCUCAUCCUUCGGAGUAGCUGAGAUUACAGGCGUGUGCCACCAUGCCUGGCUCAUUUUUGUAUUUUUAGUAGAGAGGGCGUUUUGCCAUGUUGGCUAGGCUGGUCUCUGUCCGGCCUCUGAGCUCAAGCUAAGCCAUCAUAUCCCAGUGACCUGCACAUAUACAUCCAGAUGGCCUGAAGUUACUGAAGAUCCACAGAAGUGAAAAUAGCCUUAACUGAUGACAUUGCACCAUUGUGAUUUGUUACUGCCCCACCCUAACUGAUCAAUGUACUUUGUAAUCUCUCCCACCCUUAAGAAGGUUCUUUUUAAUUCUCCCCACCCUUGAGAAUGUACUUUGUGAGAUCCACCCCCUGCCCGCAAAACAUUGCUCCAAACUCCACCACCUAUCCCCAAACCUGUAAGAACUAAUGAUAAUCCACCACUCUUUGCUGACUCCUUUUUUGGACUUAGCCCGCCUGCACCCAGGUGAAAUAAACAGCCAUGUUGCUCAUACAAAGCCUGUUUGGUGGCCUCUUCACACGGACACGUGAGACAGUCUCCAACUCCUGGCCUCAACUGAUCCACUCUCAUUGGCCUCCCAAGGUGCUGGGAUUAUAGGCAUGAGCCACCGCACCUGGCUCAGUAAGUACAUUUUUUUAUUAUCAAAAACAGAGUAGUGUAUGAUUGGCGUAUUCUGUGUAGAAUGUAUUUUAUUGAUGUCUUCUAUUUUUAUAAUUUCUGAGUUAAGUACUUUUUAAUGAAUGCUUUUUAGUUUUGGGCAGAUUCAGUUGACUAAAGCACCUCAUUUCCCAGAUACAUGAAAUAAAAUACUUGGUUUCUUUUCCAAUUUCACACUGAUGUUAUUUUGUGAAAAUCAGUGCUUUAAGAUAAAUCUUUAUACUUUAAGGUAAACAUGAGAAACUUGAUCUAAUAUUUAAUAUUUAUUCAGUUCUACACUUUAUUAACUUCUACACCAGCAGAUUUAAAAAUUAUGUAACUAUCUCAAGAAGUUUCACUUGGACGUAGUGGUUCACGCUUGUAAUCCCAGCACUUUGGGAGGCUGAGGUGGGAGGAUUGCUUAAGGCAAGGAGUUUGAGACCAGCCUGGGCAAUACAGCAAGAUCCCAUCUCUAUUUUAAAGAAAAGUUUCACUUUGGGAGGCCAAGGCGGUUCGAUCACAAGGACAGGAGAUCGAGACCAUCCUGGCUAACAUGGUAAAACCCCAUCUCUACUAAAAAUACAAAAAAUUAGCCAGGCGUGGUGGUGGGCGCCUGUAGUCCCAGCUACUCGGGAGGCUGAGGCAGACGAAUGGCAUGAACCCGGGAGGCAGAGCUUGCAGUGAGCUGAGAUUGGGCCACUGCACUCCAGCCUGGGUGACAGAGUGAGACUCCGUCUCAAAAAAAAAAAAAGUUUCAGUAAAUUCCACCUAAGAAUUCCACAAGAGUUCUGUCAUCUCCAAUGUCAUGUUCCACAGAUUUCAAGUUGUGAAGCCCUGAACUGUUAAUUUAUCCUGAG
RNAcentral lists this long non-coding RNA (3325 nucleotides) under Pan troglodytes (chimpanzee). RNAcentral's name for it is "long non-coding RNA NONPTRT005939". Lineage: Eukaryota; Metazoa; Chordata; Mammalia; Primates; Hominidae. The record is from RNAcentral.